CCUAACACAUGCAAAUCGAACGCAGUAGCAAUACUGAGUGGCAAACGGGUGAGUAUAAUGUGGGAAUCUGCCUUUUGGUUCGGAAUAACACGAGGAAACUUGUGCUAAUACCGGAUAAGCCCUUACGGGGAAAGUUUUAAUGCCAAAAGAUGAGCCCGCAUUUGAUUAGUUUGUUGGUGAGGUAAUGGCUCACCAAGACUACAAUCAAUAGCUGUUCUUAGAGGAAGACCAGCCACAUUGGGACUGAGACACGGCCCAAACUCC
Molecule: ribosomal RNA, 264 nt
Filed under: uncultured bacterium
Lineage: Bacteria
Description: partial 16S ribosomal RNA
Rfam family: Bacterial small subunit ribosomal RNA
Source: RNAcentral